AGUGAACGCUGGCGGCGUGCCUAACACAUGCAAGUCGCGCGCGAAAGGGUAGCAAUACCUGAGUAAAGCGGCGAACGGGUGAGUAACACGUGGUUAACCUGCCUCGAUGUGGGGGAUACCCCGGGGAAACUCGGGACAAUACCGCAUGAUGUCUCUCGGGCGACGGCCUGGGAGAGCAAAGCUGGGGACCGCAAGGCCUAGCGCAUCGAGAGGGGACCGCGGCCGAUUAGCUAGUUGGCGGGGUAAUGGCCCACCAAGGCGACGAUCGGUAGCCGGC
Molecule: ribosomal RNA, 277 nt
Filed under: uncultured bacterium
Lineage: Bacteria
Description: partial 16S ribosomal RNA
Rfam family: Bacterial small subunit ribosomal RNA
Source: RNAcentral